Long non-coding RNA from Dreissena polymorpha, 1462 nucleotides. RefSeq lists it as uncharacterized. The transcript has 5 exons. Lineage: Eukaryota; Metazoa; Mollusca; Bivalvia; Myida; Dreissenidae. The record is from RefSeq and is a predicted model, not a curated record.
AGAUGGCGACCAUUAAGCACGAGGUACAGUAGCUCUAAUUGGGAACAACUCUUGAAGAAAAUAGACACGGUUAUAUUGAUAAAAUAUUUAAAUAAUAAAAUUCAACUGACAGGAGCAUGUUAUGAUAUGCCGGAGUAGAGAGAUGGCGAAUGAAUACCACUGAAAGGGUCAUUACUCGAAGUCGAUGUUCAAAAGAAGAAUCCGACAUGCACAGUAAUUAACAUCGUAUUUAUGCCUUCUCAUCAACGAAAUCACCACUGAGCGGUGGAUGUUAUUUGACCUGGAUGGCCUCCAACACCAACUUUUUUACCGACAAAGAGACCAAUAACUGGAUCUAGGCUUCCAUAGCACUCAAUGUGACGAAGGAAGGACUAGCUAACUUUCUAAACACAGAAUUACAGAAUUUACACGCCGUUGUUGGAAGAUGUUGUGGAAACUGUUCAAUUCAAAAACUCAUACAAUGUCCAACAAACCCAUAUUGUAACAAGAGGAAACGGAAUUAUUGUCCUUUUCACAAAUCACAGAAACCACAGCCAUGCCCAAUAUGUGAUAAUGUAAAAUUUAAUCUCAUAUUACAGCACAGAUACGGUAGUCCUUCCUGGAGAAACAUUUGUGCGGAAAAGUUGGCGUCAGACUAUUGGGAAAUAGGCAAAUGCUUCUUCCCUCCGGAUGGAUAUAGCAACGUUUCUUCGGUCCAAGAAUCAGACUUUAAUGGCGUUAUAAGCAUCAUGUUGAAUUGCCUACAUUUCCAGACAUGUCUGUCUCCCUUAUGUUUAUUUCCUUCACCGCCUGAUAAGCAAUGUCCACUAGAAAAGGUACGUCAGAUCGGCCGAGAGAUACGUCACACAGCCAACUGCAAGAUUACAGAUGCUGACCUGCAGGACUAUUUCCAUACACUGACAACGCUACUGGCUGACCCAAUCUGCUUACAGCAUGAUCCCUCAGCAGUGAUAGCAUGCACGAGACUAAGAGAUUUGCAGAGUGAUCGUAUGUCAAUCACAGAGGUGGGCGAUCUGUUUAAAGAGUUCAAUCAAAUGCUUAAUCCUUCGAUAAAGGCGGGUGGAAGUUUUAUUGAAAUGGCAGAAAGAUCAGUGCCAAAAAUUAUAGAAAAAAAUGUAUAUGCUUUGGGAGCAACGUCUUGAAAAGGAGACUCAGGCUGGGCAACAACGCCUUAAAAGCAAGACAAAAGUAGGGGAACAUCGCCUUGAAAGGAUGACGCAAAUUGGAGAGCGCAUGAAACAGGCAGCGAAUGAAACUGCACAAGCAGAAUACGAGCGAGAUGAAGCAGAACAGAGACCAAAAACGACAUGCACUCAUACGGAAGUUGAACACGAAAUCAAAAAGAUAGACAAACAUAUUCAUGAUGGCAGGCUUGUCAAGCUAAGUCCAGCAUAUGUUGAGCAUGUGAAAGACUGCUUGAGUGACCCGGGCUCUAUCGAAAAAGGGGGAUAUGGAACUGUUU